CCUACGGGGGGCAGCAGUAGGGAAUCUUUCACAAUGGGCGAAAGCCUGAUGGAGCAACGCCGCGUGCAGGAUGAAGGCCUUCGGGUUGUAAACUUCUUUUAUAAGCGAGAAAUAUGAUGGUAACUUAUGAAUAAGGAUCGGCUAACUACGUGCCAGCAGCCGCGGUCAUACGUAGGAUCCGAGCAUUAUCCGGAGUGACUGGGUGUAAAGAGUUGCGUAGGGGGUCUAAUAAGUAGCUAGUGAAAUCUGGUGGCUCAACCAUUCAGACUAUUAGCUAAACUGUUAAGCUCGAGACCGUUAGGGGUAACUGGAAUUUCUAGUGUAGGAGUGAAAUCCGUAGAUAUUAGAAGGAACACCAAUAGCGUAGGCAGGUUGCUGGGACGGUUCUGACACUAAGGCACGAAAGCGUAGGGAGCAAACGGGAUUAGAUACCCUAGUAGUC
RNAcentral lists this ribosomal RNA (442 nucleotides) under uncultured bacterium. Its description in RNAcentral is "partial 16S ribosomal RNA". It matches the Rfam family "Bacterial small subunit ribosomal RNA", at positions 338 to 795 of the family's 1533-position model. The record is from RNAcentral.